This 1316-nucleotide ribosomal RNA is filed under the name Proctophyllodes ateri. RNAcentral's name for it is "partial 28S ribosomal RNA". It matches the Rfam family "Eukaryotic large subunit ribosomal RNA", at positions 123 to 1218 of the family's 3401-position model. Lineage: Eukaryota; Metazoa; Arthropoda; Arachnida; Sarcoptiformes; Proctophyllodidae. The record is from RNAcentral.
UGCAUCGAUGGUGUUCAAGAGAUGCGGCGUUAAUGUAUCGACCCAUCAUGCAUUGUUCCACAUUUCAAGUUCCUACGACCGGGACUUCCAGAGCGGGUGUAAGACCCAUAGAGAUGAGGAACCAGUGUAUGCUGAGCGAUGCAUUCUAGAGUCAGGUUGCUUGAGAGUGCAGCUUAAAGUCGGUGGUAAACUCCAUCCAAGACUAAAUACUACAGCGAGACCGAUAGCAAACAAGUACCGUGAGGGAAAGUUGCAAAGCACUUUGAAGAGAGAGUUCAAAAGUACGUGAAACCACUGGGAGGCAAACAGAUGGAACCACGAAGUGUGCGCCUCGGUCGAUUCAAUCAUCACUUUUGAUCAGUUGUAGUUAAUCAGGAUCUUUUCGGAGGUUGAUUUUCUACAAUUAUGAUUAAAGGUGUUGGUGCAUUUCGUGCCGAGGAUGCAAAGCCACGUUCAACUAGAGUUGGGACGGCUGUAAGAAAGAAUCCGAGAAAGGUGACCGUCAAGUGCUUGCAUUUGACGGCGUUAUAGUCUCGGGUUGGCACCGUCUUCUAACAUACUGGUUGAUGGAAAUUCUCCAUUUGGAGUUGAACCAUAUCUGCCUGUGAUUGUUAGUCGAUGUUGCGUAAUGUUCUUUGCGUAUCUUUCGAUGCGAAAAGACUUUGCAAAAAUGUCGGUUAAUGGUUGCUUGCGUGAUAUGGUGGAACUGUGGCGUGAGUAGGUCGGUCUCCAUCUGACCCGUCUUGAAACACGGACCAAGGAGCCUAUCAUAUACGCGAGUCGCUCGGUCUUGUUUAGGCCUGGGAGGCGUAAUGAAAGUAAAGUUACGAGGCUUCGGCUGCAGUAACGGCUCGCCCACUUUGUUUAUUGGCAAUAUGGCGAAGCUGGAGCGUAUACGAUGGUACCCGAAAGAUGGUGAACUAUGCCUGGGCAAGACGAAGCCAGAGGAAACUCUGGUGGAGGUCUGUAGCGAUUCUGACGUGCAAAUCGAUCGUCAGACCUGGGUAUAGGGGCGAAAGACUAAUCGAACCAUCUAGUAGCUGGUUCCCUCCGAAGUUUCCCUCAGGAUAGCAGGCAUUUAUUUUUUGCUGUGCAGUCUCAUCCGGUAAAGCUAAUGAUUAGAGGUCUUGGGGUUGAAACGACCUCAACCUAUUCUCAAACUUUAAAUGGGUGAGAUGGUUGACUUUCUUGAUUGAAGCCAACCAUUUGGAUGCAAAUGCCUAGUGGGCCAUUUUUGGUAAGCAGAACUGGCGCUGUGGGAUGAACCAAACGUCGAGAUAAGGCAUCAAAUGCGUACGCUCAUCAGACCCCAGGAA